CUGUACACACAUUUGCGUGUUGCUUGUUGUGCAAUUAAAGAAGACAAAAUGGUGCACUGAUAUAUUUUUUUAACAAAGUUUUGAUUUUCAGGUAAUACAAUUUUGCUGACCAAGAAUCCAAUUUUAACAACGCAGAGGGCCUCAACAUAUUCAAAUAGCAAAGAAACACAUAACCAGUUUGGACAUUGGUAUCUUUUCUGCAGGGAAAGUGCAUCUAGUUGGAUGCGUUAAACAGGUCGUCAAGCCCGUACCCAUUCACAAACUUGUUUGAAAAAAGAGUAUGCAAAGCUUCAGUGGUGUUAUUAAAAUUCUUCAACUAUCAACAAUGGACAUGAUUUAUGAAGACUUUUAAAUUAGUUAUGUUCUGAUAGGUACCUAUUUCAUUAAAUUUGUGUACUUAUAUUUCCAACGUUUUCCUCCCACCACCCGUUAGAAAGUAAUAAGUUACUUUAUUUAAGCAAAAAACAUACUAUACCUAUACACUGAGGAGUUGUGUUUGUGAAUAAAAUUAUUUUGUCAAUGACUAA
Molecule: long non-coding RNA, 527 nt
Organism: Acyrthosiphon pisum (pea aphid)
Lineage: Eukaryota; Metazoa; Arthropoda; Insecta; Hemiptera; Aphididae
Exons: 2
Source: RefSeq, a predicted model, not a curated record